RNAcentral lists this ribosomal RNA (497 nucleotides) under uncultured bacterium. Its description in RNAcentral is "partial 16S ribosomal RNA". It matches the Rfam family "Bacterial small subunit ribosomal RNA", at positions 28 to 507 of the family's 1533-position model. The record is from RNAcentral.
GAUGAACGCUGGCGGCGUGCCUAAUACAUGCAAGUCGAGCGAACAGACGAGGAGCUUGCUCCUCUGACGUUAGCGGCGGACGGGUGAGUAACACGUGGAUAACCUACCUAUAAGACUGGGAUAACUUCGGGAAACCGGAUCUAAUACCGGAUAAUAUAUUGAACCGCAUGGUUCAAUAGUGAAAGACGGUUUUGCUGUCACUUAUAGAUGGAUCCGCGCCGCAUUAGCUAGUUGGUAAGGUAACGGCUUACCAAGGCAACGAUGCGUAGCCGACCUGAGAGGGUGAUCGGCCACACUGGAACUGAGACACGGUCCAGACUCCUACGGGAGGCAGCAGUAGGGAAUCUUACGCAAUGGGCGAAAGCCUGACGGAGCAACGCCGCGUGAGUGAUGAAGGUCUUCGGAUCGUAAAGCUCUGUUAUUAGGGAAGAACAAAUGUGUAAGUAACUAUGCACGUAUUGACGGUACCUAAUCAGAAAGCCACGGCUAACUACGUG